Pezoporus occidentalis (night parrot) is the source of this 2543-nucleotide RNA transcript. It is a transcript of the gene named regulator of microtubule dynamics 2, with no coding region annotated. Lineage: Eukaryota; Metazoa; Chordata; Aves; Psittaciformes; Psittacidae. The record is from RefSeq and is a predicted model, not a curated record. The transcript is spliced from 11 exons.
CGCAGGGGCGGGCUGCGGGGCAGGCGGUCCCCUUCGGGAGGUGACCCUUCGGCGCUGUGGGGUUGGGGCGACGGCGGGACACCCCUCGGAAGGGCGGUGAGGGCCCUGGCAGCCCUACGGCCUGGCAGCCCGGCUUCCGCCGCUGUGCAGCUGCGGGAAAUCCGGUCCUAAGAGUUUCUGAUGUUAAAACGACAAAGCCCCGAGAUGCGGGAAGGUUCAAAGUGAAAGCUGCUGUCCUCCGCACGUGCCGGUGCAGUAGAGUCUGCCCCUCGCUCCCCAAACCCGUAACCGAGCCCGGUUUGCUGUGGCAGCACAUUGUACCUUCUACUGCGGAAUCUGCUGGAGUUGUAGCGUAACUUUGUGUCUGCAGUGCGCGCCAGUUGCUCCAGCCUUACGCUUUGGUGAUGGGUAGAGUAGGAAAAACAUCACAACAUCUUUAACUCCGACUGUUGUUGUUGUCUCACAAUUCUAGGAGAGUGCAGAAAUGUCUCGCUUCGAAAAUAAAGGACUAAUACUGGGCAUAAUGGCAGGGACUGCUGGCAUAAGCCUGAUGGUGAUUUGGUACCGUAAGAUCCGAAAACCGGGUGCAACUGUGCGUAUACCUGCGCUCCUAAAUGCAAGUAACAGGCUUAGUUCUGUGGGCUUGCAAAAUGAAGCUCCGAAUGAGCAAGGAGCAGUAAUGGUUUUAUAUGGAAGGCAACUGCAGAUACUAGAAAAAUUGAAUGACUUGCUAGUGAGUGUGGAUGAACUGAAGAGAGAGGUAAAAUUUCUGAAAGAAGCUAUUCCAAAGCUUGAAGAGCUUGUUCGCAAGGAGCUUCAAGGGAAGGGAGAUGUUCAGAGAGUAAGCCCCUCACACAGAGCAACAAAGCGGAGAAAAGCUGAGACAGCUUCUGGUGCUGCAGAAACUACCAGCUCUGAGGAGGCGGAAAGUGAAGGAGGUUAUCUUACAGCUCAUACUGAUACUGAAGGAGACUCUGAGGAAGAAAAGGGAUGUAAGAAAUCACCUGAUGCCAUUGCGAAAUCAGAAGACGAAGAGUUGUUUAAUUUUUUACAGCAGGUGGACAAUUUGCACAAGGGUUCAGAGAAUGACAAAAAGGAGGGCUUCAGACUGCUGCUUGAGAAAGAUGACAAGUAUGAAAACUGUGUGGACUUUCUUUGGAGACUUGCACGUGCUUAUGGAGAUAUGUUUGAGAUGACUACUGAUGCUAAUGAGAAGAGGAAAUAUGUUGCUGAUGGAAAGAUUAAAGCUGAAAAGGCUGUACAGCUGGAUGGCAGGAGUGCUGAGAGUCACCAGUGGUUUGCAAUUAUGUGUGGCUAUAUGUCUCAAUUUGAAAGUGUACAAAACAAAAUCAGGAAUGGUUAUCUCUUUAAGGAGCAUCUAGACAAAGCAAUUGAACUUAAGCCUCAAGAUCCUUUUUUAUAUUACCUAAAUGGAAGAUGGUGCUAUUCAGUAGCUCAGUUGUCUUGGAUUGAAAAGAAAGUAGCUGCUGCUCUCUUUGGGACUCCACCAACUUCAACAGUAGAAGAAGCAUUGCAGAAUUUCCUUAAGGCGGAAGAAAUGCAUCCGGGAUAUUCCAAAUGCAAUUAUGUGUAUUUGGCAAAGUGCUAUAAAGAUCUUGGCCAGAAAAACAAUGCACUGAAGUACUGUGAUUCUGCACUGUCGAUUCUUUCAGUUACUAAUGAGGAAGUAUAAUACAGUGUUGGCUCUGAGCACAGCAUAUUACUUGCCUCUUGCUCCACCACUGGGUUCUCUCUGCUAUGAGCCCAGUACCGUAGGCAGAGCUCACUAACACCGGUAUGGAAGGUACUGAGGGUGUAGUCCAUCCAUGCUGGUUAUUAGAGGAUAAAGAGGCCCAGAAAGACUUAGAGGCUUUACUUCUCACACUGAGGCUGUGACACUACGUGCUUUUUAACUCUUCAUGCUGUGAUAAAAUUGCAAAACUGAGAAUCUACAGUGACUGGGAACUGUGGGUGAAUUCCAGCUGAGUGAAUGGGAAAACUGUCAUUGAUUUUGGUUGGUUUGGAUCAUGGCAUUUAAGCAUCCGGUGAUUAUGUUAUGAAAAUGAUGGAUUCAUUUUUUAUUAUUUAUAAUCUCAUACUGAAGUUUAAUUUUAAAUUGCUGACACUGUGAGUCUGAUUCUCUGAACAUGAAGUCCACUGCUGGCAAUGGACAUACUGGGGGUUAGAAAGCAAAAUGCAUAGAUCUCACUCUUUGUAAGAUUAAUUGACUAGUAUGCGAUGCCAGCAUAGAACUGUCUGUAGCAAAACCAAACAAAUGUUUCUAUAGUAAAUUAUAUUUGUAUCAACUAAUUUACGUAGAUGUGUACAGAAGAAAAUCAUGAAUGCCUAUGUUUACACAUUUUCCUCUACUAUUAUAAAAUUAGAAUCUUGUUGAAGUUAAAGCUGUUGCCUCCACAAAGCUCUUUUUACUUUAAACCUACUGUCAGUUUUAAAUGAAAAUGUGAAAACUUUACAAAUUAAAUACUAAAAUUUUAUUUUAUUUGCAAUAUGAAGUACAAUAUUAAAAAUCAGACCAAUUGAAA